Long non-coding RNA from Tyto alba (common barn owl), 3398 nucleotides. RefSeq lists it as uncharacterized. The transcript has 7 exons. NCBI's taxonomy places the organism in Eukaryota, Metazoa, Chordata, Aves, Strigiformes, Tytonidae. The record is from RefSeq and is a predicted model, not a curated record.
GAAAAUAUUUAAGUAAACUGAUAAAGGAAACCUCCAUCAGUGACUGUUAACCCUCUGGUUCUGUUACAGCUGUGUUUCAGGCUUGCAAAAGCUCCCUCUUGCUGUAGUUGAGAUAAAUCCAAUGAGCUCUGCUAGGAUCUCUUCAGUUGAAUAGCGGACACAUACAUGAGAUCACCCUCAUCCAAAUAAUGAUGUCAAACGCAUUUUCUGUUUGUUAAAUAGGUGAUAAACCAUAGAGUCCAUUCCCAAGCGUACAAGCAGCACAAAAAAAUUUACUAUUUAUGCCACACCCGUACCCCAUUGCUAUACAUACACCGUUCCUGCAAGCAUUUUUGACAUCAAAGAUCUAAUGGAUAAGUCAGACCCUUAUAUCAUAAAGACAGACCUACAGUGGUCCAGACGCAGGUUUGACUGGGGAAAUCAUGUUACUGAAAGCUGGAGAAGCAUGGAAAUGCUAGGGAAGUUUAGCAGCGGGAAGUCUCUCCUGAGGGUCUUCCAUGAGCAGCCGCUUGUAUGGGCCACGCUGUGUCAGUGCACACCAGGAGCCUCUUCCCUCCCACCUGCUGCCGCUGUUCUUGCACAAGCACUGUCAGAUGCUUUAUUAGUCGUCAGAGUGUUGCUCAAAAUCACCUGAGCACAGUGCUUUCUAGCCCUUUUGCAAAACUGGUCUGUGCCUGAGUAUGGAUAAAUUGGUUUUAUGUUGACAGUGCCAUUUUUGUUCUUUAUGAGAAUUGUAACUGUGGCAACCCAGAAGUGACUUAAGGGACUCUAAGUCGGUCUCUGUACCUUCAAAUUAAACACACUGGGACAUGAUCACUGUAACAGAUGAGAUUACACUACUGGGUUUGGGGUUUUAUUUUUAUUCGUGGAUAGCAUUAAAAGAACCUAAUACAUGCUUUAAAUGAUUUUAAAUAAAGCUAUAUAAAAACCCAACAUUGACUAGAGCCUCUCUAAUAAAUCAUUAAGAAAGGGAGGGAAGGGGUAGAAGGGAAUUGUGAAUGCCAGGUACCAACCCAUACAACUUCUGUGUGACUGCUAAGUUCAGCACACCAGGGAGUAAUGCCAGAUUGUUUACUAGAAGUCAUGAGUUGUUUAUUGCCAAUUGAGCACGGUUUUGCUUCAGUAAAUGGGAGUAAUGUAAUAAGAAGAAGCCAGCUAUUAUGAAAAGUUUUUACAGUUUUAAGUCGGAGCUGAAAACCAAAAACUCUGCAUUUUUCACCUUGUGACAAGGACCAUCAGCCCCGAAAGACCACUACAAUUACAGUGUUAGCUGUGCAAAACCAUUCCUAUCACAGGGAAGUGGCAAUGCAAGAAAACAUGACAGGAAAUUGUGAAUUGAACUCCUGCUGCUAUUCUGUUGGGAAACAGAUCAAAGACUUUUAUGAAAGAAAGGGAAUAUUUCCUGAAUGGUUCAAGUGCAUAGCAACAUGAUGUAAUUCAUAACCUGACUGUGGUAUUUCAGCAUGGAGGCAGUGUUUCACUGCCAUGCAGUGCCAGCCCUGUAACGCUGAAGAUGUGCCAGACUUGGAAACAAAAGGGACCUUGUUCUGCUUCAACCUCAGCCUUGUCCAGCAUCGUGCACUGACAUUUGGAGGUCUUUCAAGAAUGUGUGUCACAGGCCCUGCUAGAGCAGAUACCAAAAUAGCGUAAUUACUACACAGCAUGUUUAGAAAGUUACUACUGAAUAAUGAAAGGACAUCUGAAGACAUCUCUAUCCAAAGACAUAUGUGAAAUGCAUAUUCUGGUGGGUUUCUCCACUACUAAAUUUAUCUGAAGAAUAUAAUAGAAGAAGUAGCAGAAGAUUAAAUUUGCUUUAGGGGGAGUACCAAAGAAGGAGAAAAAGUUAAGCAGUAUCUAGUAGACAAGACAUGCUUGUUACGCUGUUUUAAACAGCUCCUCUGCUACACUAAGACUGACCAUACCUCCUCUUCUAUGUCACUCCAGAAGCUACAAUCAGCAUCUCUUAAGUGGGUCACAGGGGGCUGGAGACUCUCUUUGCUGAACUGCAGCCGUGGGACUCCAGCUCCAGGGCCAACAUGUUACCUGCUGCAGAAGUUUAUCCAGAAAUGGCUAAGAUAGGUCCAAUGGUCUGACAGUUUUGCUGCAGUCUGGGAAGUAUGUUAACGGCAGAGCUGCUGAACCAAACUGUUUUGCCAACCUUCCCUCAAGAACCUGUUUGCCCACAUCUGAAGCGUCCAGCCCUUCAAAUAACCCUAACGUAACGACAUGGGGAUGAAGAGGAGGGCACACUGAGGCACAUGGAGAAGGCUGUACAGUAUCAGAGGAAGACAGACUGAUGGAAAGCACAGAAGGAGUUCCCCAUUGUUGGAAGAUGUUGGAAGAAACAAGACCAUUGGUUGCCCUGCGCUGCUCUGAUGGGCCACGCUUUACUAAUUUUGCAUUUCAGUUGCAAACAUCAAGUUGUGCAUUACAGGUGAAUAAUGGAAGGGGAGGCUUUAAUAUUGCAGUAUUUCUUACAGGUAAGUGUGUAAGGCUUUCAGCUUUUCAGGUUUUAAGUCUCACUUAGUUUUCCAACACCUGCAUUUUAUACUGAUUACAUUACAUCUUGCAUGGGUAUUAAAAGCUCUUACCUUGGCACUUAUGACAUUCUUCUGAGAUUCCCUUUGCAUGUCAUGUAAGCAGGAUCAGACCACAGAUAUUUGUAGUACUUUAAGGAAGCCAAGAUGAGCGAGAUGUCUUAUAUGGCAUUUCUGGUAUUAGCAAAAACAUAUAAGCAAAACACAUCCGGGAAAGUCAUCUCCUAUAUUUGGAAGGUGAAACUGAAUAAAAAGAACAAGGGAAGUAUGAUUUGAGGAAGCAAAUAAGAUGGAGCCAGACUCUACUCAGCGUUAUCAGAAUGGACAAGAAGAAAGGGGCACGGUCUGAAAAACAGGAAAUUCCAUUUGAACAUAAGACAAUGCAAGAGGAGGAGGAGAAGGAGAAAAAUCCCGCAAUGUUUUUCACUCUGAGGGUGAUCAUGCACUAGAACAGGUUGCCCAGAGACGCUGUAGAGUCUCCACCCUUUGGAGAUACCUAAAAUCCAACUGGACAUGGUCCUGAGCAACCUGCUGUAGCUGACCCAGUUUUGAGCAAGGAGUUGGACUACGUGAUCUCUGGGUCCCUGACAGCCUCAACUAUUCUGUGAUUCUGAAUUUGACAAGAAGUCAUGGGCCAAUGCCAUAACAAGGACUGGUUUUCUUUAGAAAAAAAAAGAGCUCUUAUCAAGGAAAAGUGAACUAUGAGUGAUACCCAGUCUUCAAAUAGUAUUUGUUUACAACAUAAACACUGACUGGAAAUAUAAAUCAAUGGAGCAGAUUAGCUCCAUACUGCUACUCCUAGUCCUGCAUUUUGGUUUUCUACUAUAUCAGUUUUUCUUCCAGUAACUUCCCUGAGAGUGU